AACAAACGCUGGCGGCGUGCCUAAUACAUGCAAGUCGAACGAGGAAAGCUUUCGGGUGAGUACUAGUGGCGCACGGGUGAGGAAUAUAUGGGUAAUCUGCCCUCGAGUUGGGGAUAACCAGUCGAAAGACUGGCUAAUACCGAAUAAGACCACAGGAUCUGCGGAUCUAGGGGUUAAAGGUUUUUCGCUUGAGGAUGAGCCCAUACGGGAUUAGCUAGUUGGCGAGGUAAUGGCUCACCAAGGCUACGAUCCCUAACUGGUCUUAGAGGAUGAUCAGUCACACUGGAACUGAGACACGGUCCAGACUCCUACGGGAGGCAGCAGUAGGGAAUAUUGCACAAUGGGGGAAACCCUGAUGCAGCGACGCCGCGUGAGUGAUGAAGGCCUUCGGGUCGUAAAGCUCUGUCGUAUGGGACUAACACAAUGAAGGUACCAUGCAAGAAAGGAUCGGCUAACUUCGUGCCAGCAGCCGCCGUAA
Molecule: ribosomal RNA, 478 nt
Filed under: uncultured bacterium
Lineage: Bacteria
Description: partial 16S ribosomal RNA
Rfam family: Bacterial small subunit ribosomal RNA
Source: RNAcentral